This 73-nucleotide transfer RNA is filed under the name Diversibipalium mayottensis. Its description in RNAcentral is "tRNA-Met". The record is from RNAcentral. Lineage: Eukaryota; Metazoa; Platyhelminthes; Tricladida; Geoplanidae.
AGAAUAAUAAGUUAAGGAGAGAAACUGUUUGAUUCAUAUUCAAAAAACGAAUCUAAGAGGCAUUCUUAUUCUU